RNAcentral lists this ribosomal RNA (469 nucleotides) under uncultured bacterium. Its description in RNAcentral is "partial 16S ribosomal RNA". It matches the Rfam family "Bacterial small subunit ribosomal RNA", at positions 28 to 507 of the family's 1533-position model. The record is from RNAcentral.
GACGAACGCUGGCGGCGUGCUUAACACAUGCAAGUCGAACGGAAAGGCCCUGCUUGCAGGGUGCUCGAGUGGCGAACGGGUGAGUAACACGUGGGUGAUCUGCCCCUUACUUUGGGAUAAGCCUGGGAAACUGGGUCUAAUACUGGAUAGGACCAUGCUGUAGGUGGUGUGGUGGAAAGAUUAGUUUCGGUAAGGGAUGAGCUCGCGGCCUAUCAGCUUGUUGGUGGGGUAAUGGCCUACCAAGGCGUCGACGGGUAGCCGGCCUGAGAGGGUGGACGGCCACAUUGGGACUGAGAUACGGCCCAGACGCCUACGGGAGGCAGCAGUGGGGAAGAUUGCACAAUGGGCGCAAGCCGGAUGCAGCGACGCCGCGUGGGGGAUGACGGCCUUCGGGUUGUAAACUCCUUUCAGCCAUGACGAAGCCCUUGUGGUGACGGUAGUGGGAGAAGAAGCACCGGCUAACUACGUG